Molecule: ribosomal RNA, 843 nt
Filed under: Salmonella enterica subsp. enterica
Lineage: Bacteria; Pseudomonadati; Pseudomonadota; Gammaproteobacteria; Enterobacterales; Enterobacteriaceae
Description: partial 23S ribosomal RNA
Rfam family: Bacterial large subunit ribosomal RNA
Source: RNAcentral
UGUUUCGGCUAGGGGGCCAUCCCGGCUUACCAACCCGAUGCAAACUGCGAAUACCGGAGAAUGUUAUCACGGGAGACACACGGCGGGUGCUAACGUCCGUCGUGAAGAGGGAAACAACCCAGACCGCCAGCUAAGGUCCCAAAGUCAUGGUUAAGUGGGAAACGAUGUGGGAAGGCCCAGACAGCCAGGAUGUUGGCUUAGAAGCAGCCAUCAUUUAAAGAAAGCGUAAUAGCUCACUGGUCGAGUCGGCCUGCGCGGAAGAUGUAACGGGGCUAAACCAUGCACCGAAGCUGCGGCAGCGAACGUAUCACCCAAGACAACUUUGCGGAGUUGACGAUUGACGGAGCGAAGCGACGUCAAAGCGUUCAUUAAAGUCGAGUUGGCUUAGGGAUACGUUCGUUGGGUAGGGGAGCGUUCUGUAAGCCAGUGAAGGUGUGUCGUGAGGCAUGCUGGAGGUAUCAGAAGUGCGAAUGCUGACAUAAGUAACGAUAAAGCGGGUGAAAAGCCCGCUCGCCGGAAGACCAAGGGUUCCUGUCCAACGUUAAUCGGGGCAGGGUGAGUCGACCCCUAAGGCGAGGCCGAAAGGCGUAGUCGAUGGGAAACGGGUUAAUAUUCCCGUACUUGGUGUUACUGCGAAGGGGGGACGGAGAAGGCUAUGUUGGCCGGGCGACGGUUGUCCCGGUUUAAGCGUGUAGGUGUGUGUUCCAGGUAAAUCCGGUUCACUUUAACACUGAGGCGUGACGACGAGGCACUACGGUGCUGAAGUAACAAAUGCCCUGCUUCCAGGAAAAGCCUCUAAGCAUCAGGUAACAUCAAAUCGUACCCCAAACCGACACAGGUGGU